Molecule: transfer RNA, 62 nt
Filed under: Linuparus trigonus
Lineage: Eukaryota; Metazoa; Arthropoda; Malacostraca; Decapoda; Palinuridae
Description: tRNA-Lys
Source: RNAcentral
CACCCGAUGGCUGAAAAAGUGUAGGUCUUUUAAACCUAUUAUGGUACUUGUACCUCAGGUGA